UACGGAGGGUGCAAGCGUUAAUCGGAAUUACUGGGCGUAAAGAGUGCGUAGGUGGUUUAAUAAGUUAUCUGUGAAAGCCCCGGGCUCAACCUGGGAAGGUCAGAUAAAACUGUUGGACUUUGAGUAUGGGAGAGGGUAGUGGAAUUUCCGGUGUAGCGGUGAAAUGCGUAGAGAUCGGAAGGAACACCAGUGGCGAAGGCGGCUACCUGGCCUAAUACUGACACUGAGGCACGAAAGCGUGGGGAGCAAACAGG
RNAcentral lists this ribosomal RNA (254 nucleotides) under uncultured Legionella sp. RNAcentral's name for it is "partial 16S ribosomal RNA". It matches the Rfam family "Bacterial small subunit ribosomal RNA", at positions 524 to 776 of the family's 1533-position model. The record is from RNAcentral. Lineage: Bacteria; Pseudomonadati; Pseudomonadota; Gammaproteobacteria; Legionellales; Legionellaceae.